RNAcentral lists this ribosomal RNA (494 nucleotides) under uncultured bacterium. RNAcentral's name for it is "bacterial SSU rRNA". It matches the Rfam family "Bacterial small subunit ribosomal RNA", at positions 30 to 506 of the family's 1533-position model. The record is from RNAcentral.
AUUGAACGCUGGCGGCAGGCCUAACACAUGCAAGUCGAGCGGUAACAGGACUAGCUUGCUAGUUGCUGACGAGCGGCGGACGGGUGCGUAACACGUAGGAAUCUGCCCGGUAGUGGGGAGUAGCCCGGACGAAAUACCGGAUUAAUACCGCAUACGCCUUAUGAGGGAAAGGACAGGGGAGUUCUUCGGAACCUUGCGCUAUCGGAUGAGCCUGCGUCGGAUUAGCUGGUUGGUGGGGUAAAGGACCUACCAAGGCAACGAUCCGUAGCUGGUCUGAGAGGAUGAUCAGCCACACUGGGACUGAGACACGGCCCAGACUCCUACGGGAGGCAGCAGUGGGGAAUAUUGCACAAUGGGCGCAAGCCUGAUGCAGCCAUGCCGCGUGUGUGAAGAAGGCCCUAGGGUUGUAAAGCACUUUCAGCGAGGAGGAAAGGGUGUCCGUUAAUACGGGCAUCUGUGACGUUACUCGCAGAAGAAGCACCGGCUAACUCCGU